GAAAUCAGGUUAGACAAAUGGGCUAGGGUUUAGGUGCGGCUUAGGGUUAGGAAAUCCACCAAAAACUAGGGUUUUCUAGAACAUUAGGUGCGGCAUGGGCUUAGGGUAAGUAAUCAGAUUUUUUUCAUGUGAACAAGGCCUAGGUGCGGCUGAUUAAGUGGGCUAGGGUUAGGGUUUAGGUGCGGCAUAGGUCCAAGAGGCAAAGAUGGGUCAUCCAAAAGCCCAAAGCCGAGAAUAGAAACUCUCGAAAUUGGAAACCUCCAAGAAUAGAAACUUCUAACUUUAGAAACUUUGGUUGCCAAUUCCGAUUUAGGAAAGAUCAACCCAAAAUGGAAACUUUUAGGCUUAGCUUUCCUACUUCAAGUAGGAAACCUCAAAUCUCGAACUCUUCAAUUUCAUCCCAACCUUGUGUUCCAAGCAUGUCCUUUUCAUUCCAAGCUCACUUUUUGCUCCAAAAGCUCCAAAUUGCA
This 470-nucleotide long non-coding RNA is filed under the name Malus domestica (apple). Its description in RNAcentral is "long non-coding RNA (MDOM_LNC020533)". The record is from RNAcentral. Lineage: Eukaryota; Viridiplantae; Streptophyta; Magnoliopsida; Rosales; Rosaceae.